This 549-nucleotide ribosomal RNA is filed under the name uncultured bacterium. RNAcentral's name for it is "bacterial SSU rRNA". It matches the Rfam family "Bacterial small subunit ribosomal RNA", at positions 355 to 893 of the family's 1533-position model. The record is from RNAcentral.
UGGGGAAUCUUGCGCAAUGGACGAAAGUCUGACGCAGCAACGCCGCGUGGGUGAUGAAGGUCUUCGGAUCGUAAAGCCCUGUCGGAGGGGAAGAUGCUUUCACUGUCUAACAGAUAGUGGAGAUGACGGUACCCUUAAAGGAAGCACCGGCUAACUCUGUGCCAGCAGCCGCGGUAAUACAGAGGGUGCAAGCGUUGUUCGGAAUUAUUGGGCGUAAAGGGAGUGUAGGCGGUUAUCUAAGUUUCCUGUGAAAUCUGCGGGCUAAGCCUGACAAAGAGCAGGGAAAACUGGAAGACUAGAGUGUCGGAGAGGAAAGCGGAAUUCCCGGUGUAGAGGUGAAAUUCGUAGAGAUCGGGAGGAACACCAGUGGCGAAGGCGGCUUUCUGGCUGACAACUGACGCUGAGACUCGAAAGCAUGGGGAGCAAACGGGAUUAGAUACCCUGGUAGUCCAUGCCGUAAACGAUGAUAACUAGAUGUGGGAGGUAUUGACCCCUUCCGUGUCGCAGCUAACGCGAUAAGUUAUCCGCCUGGGGAGUACGGCCGCAAGG